This is a long non-coding RNA of Phragmites australis (common reed), 1899 nucleotides long. RefSeq lists it as uncharacterized. The record is from RefSeq and is a predicted model, not a curated record. NCBI's taxonomy places the organism in Eukaryota, Viridiplantae, Streptophyta, Magnoliopsida, Poales, Poaceae. The transcript is spliced from 3 exons.
UCCGACUCAAUCCCCUUCGAUCCACGUGGGAAAAAAAAUCCCAAACCGAGGCUGGGAACGAAGCCGUCGUGUCGCUCUCCUCUCUCUCUCUCUCGCAUGUCGCUCUCCUCUCUCUCUCUCUCUCGCACGUCGCUUCACCCUUACUCUGGUGUCGCUUCUCUUGACUCCGCCGCCGACUGUGGUCUAGGUGGGGAGUUCCUUUUCUAUCCUCGCCGACGCGCACGGCGGACUAAAGCCUCCUCUCUCGGCCAAGCUGCCAGCUUCAUUAGUGGUCUCCCGCCAUUGCUGAGGUACUCCCAAACCUUGGAGCUCUGCUUAUACUCCAAGGUCCCCUAAGGCAACUCGGCCUUCAGCGAGUCCCGAACUUCCAACGGCCUUAUCCUCCGUCUCUCCGGGACCAGGGCUGCGGCGCUACGUGCAGAGACGUGGUUGCGCGUGUCCAGUGCACGUACCACUUCGAAGUGCGCGACAGCAACCAUUCAUCGGCGCUCUACAACACUAAGGUCUUGAGCAGCAACUCAAGUUCUUCAACACUCUUUGGUGACCAUUCCUCAUGGUCAAUGAUGGGCAAAAUGGUAAAACUUGUGGUGGAGAUACUAGUUAUCGUGUUGAAUUAUUAAAGCUUGCUAGCUUGAAACAACUUCUGCUGAUCUUCUAGAUUUGAAAUUACUCUUUUGUGACCACAUCUCAUCGAGCAAUUCCACUCACAGAACUUACAGUAAGAGCAGAUUAUAGUUUCUGAUAGUCAACUACUCUGCCUUAGCAAUGUCAAUCUUAGCUGACAGAUUAUUUUGGCUGUUGUUUGCAUUCUUCCAAGAGAAUUUAUGCUUUCGAAAUUGACCAUGUUUGGUGAGUAUGUGUUGUGUUUAUCAGUUCGAAUAUUUUUUAUGAUCUUAUAUUACUUGACACGUUAACUUGUAAGAUAUGUUAAAUGCCUAGCCAUGCAAGAGUCACAUGCUUUUAGUUUUUCUGUAUAUUUUUGUCAUGUACACAUCGGAAUCGCAGAGAGACAAAGGCAUGCCUCAACCACUAGCUGGAGACCAAGAAUACAUGUCUAACCCAAGUCAAUCCAAGCAAAUCCCAAAUAUGCAAUCAAGCAAGGACUAAUCCCAAGGUGGGUGGGAGGGGAUUGGGUGGUGGGAAGGGAUUAACCCAAUUCCCCUUUCGGUUGUUUCUCCAAGGGAUUAUGUCCUUCGCUUGCCAAACAAGCCCUAAUGGUGCCCAGGGUGACAUCAUUGCCGAUCACUACCUCCUCUGCAUCGAUCUAGUGAACAUACGCUCACAUGUUCCCACCACACUGGAUUUCACUAACUAAAACUACACACAGUGGAGGACAUUCUUCGACACCUCGGCAAGUUUGUGCUUGGCACCCACAUCAAGGCCCUGCUGAUCCACAGUGGGUCAUGAUCGAUUAUAUCUUGGACAUCUUGAUGAAGCCAAACGACAACACCUAUAAUGUUUGGCGUGCCAUCGAGAGACUGUUAUGAGACAAUCGGCUCACAUGCGCCGUCUACAUCGAGGACGAAUUCCAUAGUCAAUAUCAAGGUGAGAUGACCAUUAUGUAGUGCUGCUCUCGAUUGAAGACUCUCGCAGAUGCCUUGCAUGAUGUUGGCCAACUUGUGCGCAAAGAAAACCACGUGCUCAACUUCUUGUGUGGGCUGAACUCAAGUUCUGCCACGUAAUAUCUGUUUGAUGAGGGCAUUACCGGCUCACAUAUGACCAUGCCUAUAUUAUACAAUAACAAAACUAAGGUGCAUGUAUUCUAUUUUAGAUUUACCUUUUAUAUAAUUGAGCAAAGGGUGAUGUACCGUGAGUUGUGUAUGUUUUCAUUUUCAGAAGUGUUGGCAUGGAUUAAUGUAAAGGAAAUGGAGGAUAAAUGAAGUUGCUUGGGGACCGAGU